Molecule: long non-coding RNA, 509 nt
Filed under: Mustela putorius furo (domestic ferret)
Lineage: Eukaryota; Metazoa; Chordata; Mammalia; Carnivora; Mustelidae
Description: lncRNA (ENSMPUG00000025365.1)
Source: RNAcentral
GGGCAGAGUUGUAGGGGAGGAAGGGAGUGACGCAGCUAUUUGCACGGAGGAAAUCUAGUCAAAAGACGGCUGCGUAAUCAUAUUGCGGCACCGUUUUUUCUUGCAGCAGCUGCUGCUUGCUAAGGGUCCGCCCACUGCAGCUUUCUGCAGUCUGUGGCUCGUUCCUGUGAAACUGACCGUCGCCACUCUUCUCGCAAGCCCUGGCUACGAUUGCCUCUGUCCACUUCUCACAGCAUCUGCGCAGCCUUCAUCCCGGCAGCAGCCUCCGCAGUUACUCCCACAGCCCAGCCACUACCGCCCGUUCCACCUCUGCCCCAACCACCGCCGCUUCUGCUAUUUCGGUGAUUGUGAUAUGAUCCCACAGAUGAAAGUGGAACAAAAGCUCUUCUGCUUGUGACUUAUUCCUCCAUUAUUGAACAUGCCUUCUUCGGAUUUUGGCUUAGAGAGGUAAGUUUAUAACACUGCCUGAUUUUCUUACCUUUGCCUCAUCUUUACAAUAAACUGAGGAG